UGUGGGUCUCAGCACCCUUUGGCAAUAACCAGCUCCUGCUGUCCUGCUGGCCGGUUCAUCUCUGCUCCUGGAGCAUGGCUGGGAACACCAGCUGGCCCCUCAGGCUUCCUGCCAAAUCACUGCAAAAGGCACCAAAAGACUCAGCACCCCGAGGGUUGGCAGUAGGUGCAGGCAUUGUCUGAGCUCAGCUCCUGUGAAGGAGGAUUACGCUGAUUUCAGCGGUGUCUCGUUCUGUGCUCAGCAAAAUCCCUUGGGCCUGGGUUAGGUGGUGCCAGUGGUCACUUCCACUGCAUAUUGCUUCGUCUCACUGAAAUACCACAGGACUGCUCGUUCUGCUCCCUUCUGCACACUGAGGGGCACCGACCAUGCCGCUAGCUCCCCAUUCUUGCAUUUCUUGCCAGUUUCUCAUUUUUUGCCUUUCCUGCCUCAAACUGCAAAGAGGGAACUGGGGGGUGGCUGUGGGCUGGCCCAGGUGCUGGCUGUUACCAGCUAGCCCUGUCUGCCUCCUGUGUGGGGCUGGGCAAGGCUAUUAAUGCCUAUGGGCAGGGCAGGCUGCUCCCUGAAGGCUGUGCAGCAGGAGCAACAGGGCAGGCUCCAGCCCCUGGUCCUUCUGCCCCCAGAGAAAGGUGCUUUCAGCUGCAGAGACCCAGUUCAAAACCAUGCUGCACGGAAGCUGUUAAAGUUUGAGAGCUUCUUGCAAAUUCCCAUAAAAUGAGGAGAGAAGGCAAUUCAUCCCGUGGCGAGACUGGAACUGUUCCUGACUGCAUGACGCUGCUCAAAGAAGCAGUGGGUCCUGCAUCACCGCCAGCCUGAGCCCAGCAAUGUGCUGUCACGAUGAGAUGUCUUGCAGCAGCCCUUGUGUUUCCCUGCCUUUGUGGUGUUUUGGCUCCUCAUCUGAACUGGUAUAAAGUCUCCUGUUGGUCCUCGCUGGCCUCUUGGGUGAGUAAGUGUUCAUUUAGCAUUCACUGCGGGUGCCGGUGCCAAGCAGCUGAGCUUCAAACCAGGCUUUAGGUUCUGGCUUUUUGACCAGAUCACCCCAUUGUGUGCCCCUGAGCAGUUCUGUGUGCUGACAGCUUGAAAGCAAUGGGCUGC
Molecule: long non-coding RNA, 1092 nt
Filed under: Anas zonorhyncha (Eastern spot-billed duck)
Lineage: Eukaryota; Metazoa; Chordata; Aves; Anseriformes; Anatidae
Description: lncRNA (ENSAZOG00000018923.1)
Source: RNAcentral